This 307-nucleotide unclassified non-coding RNA is filed under the name uncultured Trechisporales. RNAcentral's name for it is "sequence contains ITS2". The stretch from base 1 to 52 matches the Rfam family "5.8S ribosomal RNA", at positions 103 to 154 of the family's 154-position model. The record is from RNAcentral. Lineage: Eukaryota; Fungi; Basidiomycota; Agaricomycetes; Trechisporales.
AACGCACCUUGCGCUCCUUGGUAUUCCGAGGAGCAUGCCUGUUUGAGUGUCUUGAAAUCAUCAAGCCCCCGGAUUCGCGUCCGGGAGGCUUGGACUUGGGGGUCUUUGCUGCCUUUCGGGGCGGCUCCCCUUAAAUGCAUCGGUUGUGGCCCGUUCGGCUUUCAGUCCUCGGCGUUGUAUUGCCCUCGCCUUGCGUCUUGUCGGCAGCGCCCUUCCCCGACCGCCUCUGGAGUGGCGGUCAGCAACGGAGGCUUUCGGGCCUUUGAAAUCUGACCUCAAAUCAGGUAGGACUACCCGCUGAACUUAA